Molecule: ribosomal RNA, 253 nt
Filed under: uncultured bacterium
Lineage: Bacteria
Description: partial 16S ribosomal RNA
Rfam family: Bacterial small subunit ribosomal RNA
Source: RNAcentral
CACGUAGGGCGCAAGCGUUGUCCGGAAUUAUUGGGCGUAAAGAGCGAGCAGGCGGUUACUCAAGUCAGAUGUAAAAUAUCCCGGCUUAACCGGGAGGGGCCAUUUGAAACUGGGUAACUAGAGUGAAGCAGAGGAUAGCGGAAUUCCCGGUGUAGUGGUGAAAUGCGUAGAUAUCGGGAGGAACACCAGUGGCGAAGGCGGCUAUCUGGGCUUUAACUGACGCUGAGGCGCGAAGGCUAGGGGAGCAAACAGG